Molecule: ribosomal RNA, 441 nt
Filed under: uncultured bacterium
Lineage: Bacteria
Description: partial 16S ribosomal RNA
Rfam family: Bacterial small subunit ribosomal RNA
Source: RNAcentral
CCUACGGGAGGCAGCAGUAGGGAAUUUUGCGCAAUGGGCGAAAGCCUGACGCAGCAACGCCGCGUGAUUGAUUAAGCCCUUCGGGGUGUAAAGAUCUGUCAGUGGGGACGAAACUUGACGGUACCCACAGAGGAAGCACCGGCUAACUCCGUGCCAGCAGCCGCGGUAAUACGGAGGGUGCAAGCGUUGUCCGGAAUCAUUGGGCGUAAAGAGUUCGUAGGUGGCAUAUUAAGUCUGGUGUUAAAUGCAGAAGCUCAACUUCUGUUCGGCACUGGAUACUGGUAAGCUUGAAUGCGGUAGAGGUAAAGGGAAUUCCUGGUGUAGCGGUGAAAUGCGUAGAUAUUGGGUAGAACACCGGUGGCGAAGGCGGCUAUCUGGCCAUUUACUGACGCUGAGGCUCGAAAGCAUGGGGAUCAAACAGGAUUAGAUACCCCUGUAGUC